UCUGCGGCCGAUUAGGUAGUUGUUGGGGUAACGGCCCAACAAGCCUGUAAUCGGUACGGGUUGUGGGAGCAAGAGCCCGGAGAUGGAUUCUGAGACAUGAAUCCAGGCCCUACGGGGCGCAGCAGGCGCGAAAACUUUACAAUGCGGGAAACCGUGAUAAGGGAACCCCGAGUGCCCGUAGAAUCGGGCUGUUGAUCUGUGUAAAAAGCAGGUAAAGAAAGGGCCGGGCAAGACCGGUGCCAGCCGCCGCGGUAAUACCGGCGGCUCGAGUGGUGGCCACUAUUACUGGGCUUAAAGCGUUCGUAGCUGGGUUGUUAAGUCUCUUGGGAAAUCCACCGGCUCAACCGAUGGGCGACCAGGGGAAACUGGCAUUCUAGGGACCGGGAGAGGUGAGAGGUACUCCAGGGGUAGGAGUGAAAUCCUGUAAUCCUUGGGGGACCACCGAUGGCGAAGGCAUCUCACCAGAACGGCUCCGACAGUGAGGAACGAAAGCUGGGGGAGCAAACCGGAUUAGAUACCCGGGUAGUCCCAGCUGUAAACGAUGCGCGUUAGGUGUAUCGGUGACCACGAGUUACCGAGGUGCCGAAGGGAAACCGUGAAACGCGC
RNAcentral lists this ribosomal RNA (606 nucleotides) under uncultured archaeon. RNAcentral describes it as "bacterial SSU rRNA". It matches the Rfam family "Archaeal small subunit ribosomal RNA", at positions 214 to 824 of the family's 1478-position model. The record is from RNAcentral.